ACGCCUCUUGUAACUCAUAACCUAGCUCUUUCCUGUAUACUAAGUCAAAGAAGAUCUUUAUCUAAAACAGGAAGUACAUAACAGAUGGCGGCUCCAUGAGCAGUUACAUUAUUAUUGAAUAAUUUUAUUAAGGGACAAAACCAGGACCAUUAGGCCAUGCAAUGAGUAGAGAUUGGUCACAUCUAAUUCAUUGUCUCAAACACAACUGAGGAAAUUAUGUUAGCUAUUAAAAAUUAAUGCAAUCUACAGAUAAAAUUAAAAGGCAAAUGUAAUGAGUGGGGACUGGAUCCUCAGGUGGUUUCUUUCACUAAACUCUGCCUGCAGGAAGUAGAACUUCACUAAUGGUCCUCAACUGAGAAUAAACGCUUCCAAACAUACUCUUUUUCAGCUAUAUUAUGUAGAUAAAUUAUCAUUUAUUCCUGCUACACACCUGUAAUUUUAAUAACUGAACUUAUCUGAGUGGAUGUCAUGACUGCUGACAGAGAAUAAUGACUUGUGAAUCAGCAGAUAGUUGCUAUCUCCGUCAUAGCCUCUGAUUUGCCAACUAGCCACAGGCAGAGUAACCUUAUCUCCCCCAUCUGGAUUUUAUCAGCUGUUUUGUGAGGUUAAUAAAAUAGUGGAGAGCUGUAAAUAAAAAGUUAUUAUAUGUGUUAUAUUACCUAUAAUAAGUAGCAGGUCUGUCACAAACUACAGAACAUUUAAAUGCAAGAGAUGCUCUAUUGGUUCACUAGUCUCUGUGGAGUAUACAAUUUGCUUGGUCUGGGGUCAGGGUGUUUUCUCCAGCCCUUCAGACUACCAGCACUCCUGCUUCAGCCACCUUGCUCUUGUAGCUGGCACCAGACAGGAGCACACAGGGGUAUUAGACCAAAAGGCACAAACAAGAUCAGGUAAGAGCGAGAUAUAUUAUCUGUGAAAGUCUGACCAUCACAUGAAUUAAUUCUGCCUUUGAAAAGUGACACCAAAUGUUAUCAACAAAGCUAAAAGGUAAUGUGUUUGGAUGCUUUAAGUGAGUCAUGUGAAGUCCAGUUUCUUGUUAUAUUACGGGUAGGAUGAUUCUAGAUGUUUUUUGCCAAGGCAGACCAGUACGGCUUUAAGUGAGGGGGAAAGAUAUGAUUGUCUGCUUGACUGGACUGUAAGUGAGCAAGAUCUCAAGACUGGUUUGCCACAGUGGUAUUUUGACAAUAUGCCUGCAAGGUCAGGCUCUACCAACAGAACUGCAUUACUGAUCUUGAUGAAGAAGUUAUAUAAAUGAAGUUGUUUAGCCAACUAAAAUGUAGUUGGGGGAACAAAGG
This 1292-nucleotide long non-coding RNA is filed under the name Anas platyrhynchos platyrhynchos (common mallard). RNAcentral's name for it is "lncRNA (ENSAPLG00000018028.1)". Lineage: Eukaryota; Metazoa; Chordata; Aves; Anseriformes; Anatidae. The record is from RNAcentral.